Molecule: long non-coding RNA, 1113 nt
Organism: Saccostrea cuccullata (small rock oyster)
Lineage: Eukaryota; Metazoa; Mollusca; Bivalvia; Ostreida; Ostreidae
Exons: 4
Source: RefSeq, a predicted model, not a curated record
AAGGAAGACAAUCACAGAUAUGUAGAGCUUUGCAGUCAGACAACAGAAACAAGGAAGGAAGAACAAAUUAGCAUUGAGUAUCCAACCACUUCAAGGAGAUUUUGGAAGCUUAUUUUGGUGGUUCUUCUAUUCAUCAUUCUCAUAAGCGGACUCGCCACUACAAGUGCGUUAUAUGGUCUCAAGAAAAGUAAACCGGAAGAAAACCAACAAUGUAAAGCUUUGGCUGAGGAUGAAUUUUCAAACGACCAUUGCAGAGGCCAGGAACUAAAAUCAACAAGCCAUAGAAAUAAGGAGUUAGGAAGCAGAGGAUAUAGUUUUUUAGUCAGCUUUAUCCAAAGUCACGACGAUGGAAGUAAAACAAACCGAACAAUCGUUGUAACAUCAGAAACUGAUUUCAAUUUAACAGUCUCACUGCCAGAGACUCAAAGUCCAAAUCUGAUAUCCAUAUCUAGUCGUAGACGUGGGAACAUUACAAUAAAGAAGUUAAAUGUUCACUAUUCUCUUGUUCCUUCUUAUUUUUCCCCUGAAUAUAAAGCUAUUAUCAUCAAAACCUCAGUCCCGUCAUCUGUAUUGACUCACCAAAGUUAUCAAACAUCUUCAGAUACUACAGCCGUAUUUUAAAUCGACAACCUUUCAACAUUUUACAUUAUAUCAACAGCGACACCGGCAAAUUUCAAAUCAGGCAGCGGAAGUCAUUUCACCAUUGCUUCUCUGAAAGAGAACACGCUUGUUACAAUAAAGUUUGCUGCAGAUCAUGACGUAAAAAUAUUACUACAAGAGAGAAUCUAUGGAAGAGGUGACAUAUUCUAUAUCAUUUUGAACAAUUGUCAAACAUUCCAAAUAGGCAUUAAAGCCGACAUGACAGGAACAACUAUUAAUUCUUCAAAUCCUAUCGCUGUCUUUACGGGAAAUAGGUGCAAUUGUGUUGGAUAUUAUGGAAUAUUGUAAUAUGCUUAUAGAAAUGGUACCACCAGCUGACAAACUCGACCAUGUUUUCAUUGUCCCGCCAAAUAUUCAUAGAUACCAAUCGCUUGUACGCAUAUCAACGACUGUUAAAAGUUAUAUCAAAUAUACGACUAAAAAACUCAAAACAAGGACUAUUGUUUUGAAAAA